Aquila chrysaetos chrysaetos is the source of this 6001-nucleotide RNA transcript. It is a transcript of the gene named ciliogenesis associated kinase 1, with no coding region annotated. The record is from RefSeq and is a predicted model, not a curated record. The transcript has 15 exons. NCBI's taxonomy places the organism in Eukaryota, Metazoa, Chordata, Aves, Accipitriformes, Accipitridae.
CUCGGUGCGGCCCCUCAGCCCGGUGUCGGCAAGGCGCGGGGCUCAGGGCGGGAGCCGCCAUUUCCGCGGUGACUGCGGUCAGGCCGGGGCCUUGUUCCGGAGAGAUUAAAACCCGGGUAGCAAAGGAGUGGUUAGUACUGCGGCUGUAGACAUAAUAAUGUUGCCGAGGUCAUGUGAAUGUCAUGGCCCCCUGUCCUUUGCCCAUCCAGUUCCCUCAACCGUUGUUCCGUGCUCUCUGUACACCUCACCGGGUUUUACAAAACUAAACCCAUUCUUCUAAUCUGUAUUACCAUCUCUUUUUUUUUCUGGAGGAGAACCACGUGUGUGGGCCCUCACGUGUGACCUGUGAACCCUUCCCCAUAGCUACAGCCCUGAACGUUUUUAGGAGCAAAAGGAGGCGUGGGUCCGUUCUGGAGACGGGCAGACCAAAGGCUAAGUCUUGAAAACAUGAUUCCUGCAACUGUUCACACUGUCCUGAGUGCUCUAUAUUUAUGCUGCCACAGAAAGAACUGGUUACACUCGGAGGAGAAACACAAGAAACACUAAGGACUGAAAUGCGCUUGCAGCAAAAGUAUCCUCAUCAUGAAUAGGUACACAACUAUCAGACAGCUUGGUGAUGGGACCUACGGCUCUGUCCUCCUAGGGAGAAGCAUUGAAUCUGGAGAACUAAUAGCCAUUAAAAAAAUGAAGAGAAAGUUUUAUUCCUGGGAGGAAUGCAUGAACCUUCGAGAGGUUAAGUCUUUGAAGAAAUUAAACCAUGCCAAUGUAGUAAAGCUGAAAGAAGUUAUCAGGGAAAAUGAUCAUCUGUAUUUUGUGUUUGAAUACAUGAAGGAAAAUCUUUAUCAGUUAAUGAAAGAAAGAAACAAACUGUUUCCUGAGUCUACAGUUAGGAAUAUUAUGUAUCAGAUUCUGCAAGGGCUUGCAUUUAUCCAUAAGCAUGGGUUCUUUCACAGAGACUUGAAACCUGAAAACCUCCUUUGCAUGGGACCAGAACUUGUGAAAAUAGCAGACUUUGGCUUAGCCCGAGAAAUCCGAUCUAGACCUCCUUACACUGAUUAUGUAUCCACAAGAUGGUACAGGGCUCCUGAAGUCCUUCUGAGAUCCACCAGCUAUAGUUCUCCAAUAGAUAUUUGGGCUGUUGGUUGUAUAAUGGCAGAAGUUUACACACUGAGGCCUCUCUUCCCAGGCGCCAGUGAAAUUGAUACUAUAUUCAAAAUUUGCCAAGUCUUGGGGACGCCAAAGAAGAACGACUGGCCUGAAGGCUACCAACUUUCAGCCUCCAUGAACUUUCGCUGGCCUCAGUGUGUACCUAACAACCUAAAAACCCUCAUACCUAAUGCUAGCAGUGAAGCGGUGCAGCUCAUGAGAGACAUGCUGCAGUGGGACCCCAAAAAGCGGCCAACAGCUAGUCAGGCACUUCGAUAUCCCUACUUCCAGGUUGGGCAUGCCCUGGGCGUUCAGGAGCUGGGGAAGCAAAAGGAACUGCAUAAUAAAUCGUCUCUGCAUAUUAAGCCUGUCCCUCCAGCACAACCGCCUCCGAAACCUCACACCCGCAUUUCGUCAAGGCCUUUUCAACAAAGCCAGUCUUCUCAGCACUUGGUGUACCCGUAUAAGACAGACAACUCUGGGGCUGAGCAUAGUAACUACUUACAGGAGGAAAAGUCUAACCAGGUUCUUCUGCCUGCAAUUCACAAUAAGGUUCCUCAGCAGAAAACAUCUACUGGGACUGAGCAUAUAAAUGGUGAACUUAAACAAAAAACUAGGCGAAGAUGGGGACAUCUUGCUAGAACAGUGAAGAGUUCUGAAGACUGGGAUGACUUGGAAGACCUUGAUUUCAGCUCUUCUGUCACGAGGAUGGACUUGAAAAACAAGAAAAGGCAGGGUGAUGAAAGUCUUUGUAGAUUUGAAAGCAUUUUGGACCUGAAGCCUUCGGAUGCUGUAGGCUCUGGCAGCAGUGCACCUUCCCAUGCAACCUUUCCACGGCAGGACACUCCCACAUUGCGAGUUUCUGCAGCAAAGCAACACUACUUGAGACAUUCUAGGUAUCUGCCUGGAAUAAGCACAAGGAAUAGCAUAGUCUCCACUUCCAACAAAGAGUCUGUUCCGUCUAAUCCCUGGCCCAGUUCUGGUUUGCCUGGAAAAGCUUCCGGUUUGGGAGGAAGUAUUAACAGGAUGAAUUCAGGUUUUUGGGGCAUUUGGUAUUUCAGGGCCCAUAGGAUCAAGCGGUCUAGCUAGUGGUUAUAUCCCUUCAUUUCUGAAGAAGGAAGUAGGCUCUGCUGGGCAGAGGGUUCAGUUAGCACCAGUUGUGGAUCCAUCUUCUAAUUAUGCUUCUCUGAAGUCAGUAAGACCCUAUCUUGGACAGCCAUCGUUCAGUUCACCUACAAAAAGCACACCAAGGUUAAUGCCUCUCCCACCACCAGCUCAGCCGAUCCAUGGGCGUGUUGACUGGUCUGCAAAGUAUGGUGCUCACCGGUGACGUGUGGAAAUACUCUCUGAACCAGUGCGUGUUUCCCAUGAAAUGGUGGCUCACAUGAGACAAUUUCAUACUGCUUUAUAUACCUGUAAAUUUAAAAGAAACAGAUCUUCUAUGAACGAGACAUUUUGAAGGCAUUUUUUACUUUCAUUUGUAUUACUUUGAAUGCAAUCCUGUACCUUUUUGUAUAAAAUUGUUUUGUUAUAUAAUUGGGUCCAGUUAUUUUCAUAAAUCGGAUACUUUUUGUAUAUAUGGCUUUUAGGGGGUUUGGCAUUUUUAUACGAUAAAUUUUUAUAACAAACUUUUGUAAAAUUUAACUUUUCCUUUAUUAGAUUCAACUUUUUAUAAAAAGUGGAUAAAAAAAAGCAAAGUGGUGCAAUAUUGCAGUGGAAGAGAAAUACUGAGGAAGGGGCAUUCAUUAGACAUUUUCUGAAGUUUAUGUGCUAAAUGAGGCUGUAUAAUUUCAGUGAUGCCAUGUCUUGAUGCCACGCUUCUGUUGUCCUAUACUCAUUUGCUUUGUAAUGACAUCAAAGGAAUGAGUGACUAACAGUCUAAACUCUCCUUUGCAGUCGCUGAGAGACUGCUGAAAGUCAGUGGGAGGCUUUUUUUUUUUAAUUUAUUUUUGCCUUUAAAAGGUUUUUGUUGGACUGCUGUCCAGCUUUCCAGCUUUUUUUUUUUUUUCUUUUCCUUCUACCAAAUUUGGGGAAUCUUCUUGUUUGAUGAAGGGUGAAUACCCUUCUGUAGAUCUGUUUUCUGACACAGCGCUCUUUUGUCCUGCUUCAAAGUUGCUUCUUGGCAUUAUUCAGUAUGAAACAGAAUGUGGACCUACCUCCAUUAAAUUCAUUUAAAUGUUCUAAUGAUUUCUAAGGAGAAAAAUCAGAUUCGGUUUCUUCUUUACUUCUUGUUGUUGGGAAUAUAAGAUCUGAAGACAUAUUUAAGGCAGUACUAACAUUAUAAAGCUGGUUUCAGAGUAACAAAGUAUUAGUGACACGCCAGCAGCAGAGUUUAAGGAAACAGUAUCUAUGCAGCUGACUUCUUAAUUUUCACAACUGUUUUAAAUCACUUCUGGAAAAAAAAAUCCAGAGGAAAUGAGUCAGUUUAAGCUUACUUCAGUUCUUUGUCACUUACUUCAUUACAUCUUCACUUACAAUGUGAAGAAUAUGUCAGCUUCUGUAAAUAAGGCCCCCAGGCUCUACUGGAUAAAAUGGGACCUUACCUGGUCCUGCUAAAAAAUGUUCUAAAAUUGUGGCUGGUUUCACAGAAACUGAUACAGGUCUUUGAAGAGCAGUUUAACUCAGUUUGUAAGAGAAAAUGAGUUAUCAGGUUAUAGAGAAAAGAAAAUAGCCCCACAGUCUGGUUUAAUUCUGUACUGGAAAGGAGUGCCAGAGUCCAGCCAUCAGCAAAAGAUUCAUUUAGAUCACAGUCAGCAUUUGGCUGUUCCUGCACCUCCUUCCACAGAAGGAAGAUAAAACAGUACAGUGCUGUGGGAGAACAUAUUUUAUAGCUGCGCUUUGGAACAGCACCACCAAAGCUGAAGUGUGCUGUGAAAACGCAUCUUCCUGCAGAAGUGUACAGAAAUACUCACCUUUCUGAGCUCAUUUGAUUAAUAGAUCAGACAAAUCGUAUAUUUAUGAGACUUAAAUCCAGUCUGAAGGGAUCAGAGCAGUUCUCAGUAUCUGGCCAUUUCGAAGGAGCUGAAUCGCUAGUGUGUCAGUGAGAUCCUCUCUGUGGGGUCUGCUGGCACCCGCAAGGGGCAGCCACUGUGGACUGGAGACUGACAACGCGUGCUGGCCUCUUCAGUACUUCCCGUGGAGAAUGCGUGGGACGUUGAGGAAACUGUACCCUAGAGUAGGCUGCUGGCUCAGUGCUACCGGGGGAGCCGUGAGGAGCACUGCUCAGUGUUUGCUUUUAUGGACUCGGUCCACUGUGAGACAGUACAAGACAAAAAGGGAGCAAAAGGGUCUAUGCAUUAAAAAAAAGUAUGCGUGUAAGACUUACACGUGCCAAGGACAUGUUCUGUGUCCACCUACUCUGUUUUUUGUUCAUAGCAAGUACUAACUCCAAACCAUAUCUAACUGCUUCCAAAGCAGUAAUGCCAAUGCCUAGCAGUAAAAUAAAGCAGCCAUUCGAUUUCUAAAGCACACGCUGAUGGUGUCUUUGGCUAAGUGGAAAGGGAAAUAUGUAUAUUUGUGUUAGAACUGGAAAGACAGUUGUUUCUCUUGGUGGAAAUAAAUAUCUGUAUUUAUGUCUAGAUAUCAUUUAAUUUAUUUUAUCAGUGAAUAAUUGGUCUCAAGAGGGAACACCCUGAACCUCUCCUAAGUAUCCCUAGACCUAAGUAGGCAAUUUAACUAGUCUGUGCCAUACGCUUAAUUCCUACCAGUGGAAGCAGGAGACAAACAAGUCACGACAACGGGCUGCUGAGGCUUGGAUUCAUCCUACCUAACUGCAGGCACCUAAGUGUGAGCUCCUUUGUUGCAAGCCAACUCUUUAAACCGGUGGUGAGUGAGAAUCAUCUCAAGAGAAAUUCAGCUCACCCGAGAAUUUAGUAGCCCUCUGGAGAUGCCUGGGUCUCUCCACUAAGGAUGGGGACUACUCCAUGUGUUUAAACUAACACAGAAUGAAUCUGAACCUGGCCUGUAAUCUCUGAGCCUUUAUCAAUCAGCCCUGCAGUGGUUUUCUUGACUAUGACAUUCAGGUUUUGGUCAGUCCAGCAAAAAGAUUAGAAAAAGUAGUAGUACUUUUUUUGGCAUAUCUCCUCUUUCCCAAAGUAAAGCCUUUAUUUUGGAAAAAAGCUAAUAAUCUUGAUAUUCAGAAUCACUUCUGCUAGUUUCAACUUAGUGGGACAGAAAAUCAGCAAAGUAUAAUGGCAGCACUUGUAGCUUUUACUCAAGCAAAUUCUUACUGAAGUUGGAAAAAAGUUCUUUUUGAGUAAGGACUGAGUUGACUGAGCUAUGUAUUUUACUGUGCUGUCUCAGUACACAAUACAGAUACGGAAAAGAUGUAGGUCUUUUUUACACUGAAAUACGGACAAGCAGCAUUAUCUUGAGAAUUUAUCAUACGUAACCUACUACUUUGUGUUUUAAUAUGUACCAGCAUCUUCAUGCAAAAUGUUUUUAGAAUUCUACUGUUUACAUUUUCUCAGGCUUAUGCAUAACAUGUUAUAAUGACUGUUGGAAAUAAAGGAGCCUGACCGUGGACUCGUUCACCUCUGUAAUCCAGAUUUUUGUAAAAGUAUUGUGUAAGUGCCAUGAUGUUAGCAAAAAAACCCCUAAGCCAGAAAACCUACUUCCAUGGUAUUUCUGUAUCUAAUGAGGCUGUUGAUAUGAGUAGGAUGUUCCGUAACGUGAGGAGGAAAACAUAUAUCGAAAGAACAUUUUUGAACUUAUGUGGAAGGAGAGGGUGGAAUUGUCAGAGUGAGUAAAGACAUAUCGGUUCUUGUUUAUUCAGUGUUUUUGUUCAAAAACGUUACAAAUGUUUGUUUCACUCCUGUGUCUCCUGCCCAGAAUAAAGUUACUCUUGAAAUACUGA